This 985-nucleotide ribosomal RNA is filed under the name Modicisalibacter muralis. RNAcentral describes it as "bacterial SSU rRNA". It matches the Rfam family "Bacterial small subunit ribosomal RNA", at positions 255 to 1233 of the family's 1533-position model. The record is from RNAcentral. Lineage: Bacteria; Pseudomonadati; Pseudomonadota; Gammaproteobacteria; Oceanospirillales; Halomonadaceae.
GGGUAAUGGCCUACCAAGGCGACGAUCCGUAGCUGGUCUGAGAGGAUGAUCAGCCACACUGGGACUGAGACACGGCCCAGACUCCUACGGGAGGCAGCAGUGGGGAAUAUUGGACAAUGGGCGAAAGCCUGAUCCAGCCAUGCCGCGUGUGUGAAGAAGGCUUUCGGGUUGUAAAGCACUUUCAGUGGGGAAGAAAGCCUGUCGGCUAAUACCCGGCAGGAACGACAUCACCCACAGAAGAAGCACCGGCUAACUCCGUGCCAGCAGCCGCGGUAAUACGGAGGGUGCGAGCGUUAAUCGGAAUUACUGGGCGUAAAGCGCGCGUAGGCGGCGUGAUAAGCCGGUUGUGAAAGCCCCGGGCUCAACCUGGGAACGGCAUCCGGAACUGUCAGGCUAGAGUGCAGGAGAGGAAGGUAGAAUUCCCGGUGUAGCGGUGAAAUGCGUAGAGAUCGGGAGGAAUACCAGUGGCGAAGGCGGCCUUCUGGACUGACACUGACGCUGAGGUGCGAAAGCGUGGGUAGCAAACAGGAUUAGAUACCCUGGUAGUCCACGCCGUAAACGAUGUCGACUAGCCGUUGGGAGCCUCGAGUUCUUAGUGGCGCAGUUAACGCGAUAAGUCGACCGCCUGGGGAGUACGGCCGCAAGGUUAAAACUCAAAUGAAUUGACGGGGGCCCGCACAAGCGGUGGAGCAUGUGGUUUAAUUCGAUGCAACGCGAAGAACCUUACCUACCCUUGACAUCCUCGGAAUCCGCCAGAGAUGGCGGAGUGCCUUCGGGAACCGAGUGACAGGUGCUGCAUGGCUGUCGUCAGCUCGUGUUGUGAAAUGUUGGGUUAAGUCCCGUAACGAGCGCAACCCUUGUCCCUAUUUGCCAGCGAUUCGGUCGGGAACUCUAGGGAGACUGCCGGUGACAAACCGGAGGAAGGUGGGGAGGACGUCAAGUCAUCAUGGCCCUUACGGGUAGGGCUACACACGUGCUACAAUGG